AAUAAAUGCAGCCGUGGAUAUCCGUGUCCAACGUUUGACUGUCCGUCUUAUUUAAAAAAUUUAUGAAAAAAUUUAAAAAAUUUAGUCAUACAUAAAGCACUAUUCAUGUUUUAUCAUCUAAUAGCAAUAAAAAUACUAAUCAUAAAAAAAAUUCAAAUAAGACGAAUGGUCAAACGUUGAAUGUGAAUAGUGUAAAACUAUACUUAUU
This 208-nucleotide microRNA precursor is filed under the name Oryza rufipogon (brownbeard rice). Its description in RNAcentral is "MIR812 microRNA precursor family". It matches the Rfam family "MIR812 microRNA precursor family". The record is from Rfam by way of RNAcentral. Lineage: Eukaryota; Viridiplantae; Streptophyta; Magnoliopsida; Poales; Poaceae.